CCUAUACAUGCAAGUCGAACGAAGUCUUCGGACUUAGUGGCGAACGGGUGCGUAACGCGUGGGAACCUGCCCUUAGGUUCGGAAUAACAGUUAGAAAUGACUGCUAAUGCCGGAUAAUGUCUUCGGACCAAAGAUUUAUCGCCUUUGGAUGGGCCCGCGUAGGAUUAGGUAGUUGGUGAGGUAAAGGCUCACCAAGCCGACGAUCCUUAGCUGGUCUGAGAGGAUGAUCAGCCACACUGGGACUGAGACACGGCCCAGACUCCUACGGGAGGCAGCAGUAGGGAAUAUUGGACAAUGGGCGAAAGCCUGAUCCAGCAAUGCCGCGUGAGU
Molecule: ribosomal RNA, 330 nt
Filed under: marine bacterium SIMO-IS139
Lineage: Bacteria; Pseudomonadati; Pseudomonadota; Alphaproteobacteria
Description: bacterial SSU rRNA
Rfam family: Bacterial small subunit ribosomal RNA
Source: RNAcentral